Molecule: long non-coding RNA, 1193 nt
Organism: Mirounga angustirostris (Northern elephant seal)
Lineage: Eukaryota; Metazoa; Chordata; Mammalia; Carnivora; Phocidae
Exons: 3
Source: RefSeq, a predicted model, not a curated record
CUCGGGGGCGCCGGGGCGCCGCGCACCGUCCCCGACCGCGGUGCGGCGUCCGCUGGGGGCAGCGCGGGGCAGGGGCCGGGCCGCCUCGAGGCUUGGUUCCGCGGACGAAGGGGUGUGGAUAGCCCUGAGUCUGAGUCUCGGUUUUCCCAGUUGUACCAGGAGGCGUUCAAGCGGCGGUAGAGUUAUCUGGAGAAAGUUGUGGAAUCAAACAUUUAAGAGAAGUACAUACAUCCUAAGUGCGCAGGUUCAAGAAUUUUUUUCACCUGAACACCUGUUGCAACCACCAUUCAGUCAAGAAACAACAUGGCCAGCAGCCCAGAAACCAACCGGUGUGGUCCUGGGUCACAGCUCCCUCCUAAGGUUUUAGAUACAGCCAUGGUGCUGCUGUGACUUCUUUACCAGUAUCCUCCAGCACAAGGGCACGCAUUCUUCAGUAAUUGAAAUUAACGAAAGUUGGAACGUCGUCGUCUCGGUUCUGGGAGGAGGGGUGGUAUCUCACUGAAAUUUGAAUUUCCAUUUCCCAUGUCCUGAUGGGUUGAGCACCUUUUCAUGUUUAUGGGCCAGCUGGAUUUCCUUUUUGUGAAAUGUUUGUUCAGAUUUGUUGCCAUUUUGUUUCUGGAUAGUCUUUUGUUCAUUGAAUAUAUUCUAUAUACUAUAUUCCUCUAUAUUCCUCCACUGUGUAAUUGCCUUUACACCAUCAUAAUAAUGCCUUUGGAUAAACAGGUGUUCUUCAUUUUAGCAUAGUCUAACCUAUCAAUAUUUGCCUUUUUGUUAGCACUUUGUCCUGUUUAGGACAUCUUUCCUACUCCUAGAUUAUCAAGGUAUUUUCCUGUGUUAUCUUCCCUCCUUAGACUCUCAUGUUUAGGCUUUCAAUCCACUUGGAAUCAACUUUGAACAUGGUAUGAGGCCAAGUUUCAUUGUCCGUCAAAUUGUCCUAGCAUGAUUAAUUUUUCACUUACAUCAACAACACAAUUGCUUUAUUUCGAAAAGUAAUGGAAGGGCGCCUGGGUGGCUCAGUUGGUUAAGCGACUGCCUUCGGCUCAGGUCAUGAUCCCGGAGUCCUGGGAUCGAGUCCCACAUCAGGCUCCCGGCUCAGCGGGGAGCCUGCUUCUCCCUCUGACCCUAUCCCCUCUCAUGCUGUUUCUCUCUCUCUGUCAAAUAAAUAAACAAAAUCUUAAAAAAAAAAAAGUAAU